UAAGACUUGUGAAACUCUAUAACACAUCUCCUGAAUGCAACUCAGACACUUUAAUUAAGCUAAAGCCUC
This 69-nucleotide transfer RNA is filed under the name Liolaemus lineomaculatus. RNAcentral's name for it is "tRNA-Ala". The record is from RNAcentral. Lineage: Eukaryota; Metazoa; Chordata; Lepidosauria; Squamata.